AGCGGUGGUAGCUCAGUCGGGUGAGCGCCCGCUUCUCAAUCAAGAGAUGCGGGUUCGAAUCCCGGCGUUCGCUG
This 74-nucleotide transfer RNA is filed under the name Plutella xylostella (diamondback moth). RNAcentral's name for it is "tRNA-Glu". It matches the Rfam family "tRNA". From Rfam's summary of the family: Transfer RNA (tRNA) molecules are approximately 80 nucleotides in length. Their secondary structure includes four short double-helical elements and three loops (D, anti-codon, and T loops). Lineage: Eukaryota; Metazoa; Arthropoda; Insecta; Lepidoptera; Plutellidae. The record is from RNAcentral.